UGAUCCGCUUUACUGCAUUCAUCCUGGAUCAGAAGCGGCGUUAAGUGGGCAAGGCCUUGGGGAUUGUGGGUUUGACAAUCUUCAAUGUCCGGGAAAUCAAAAUUCUGAUCCGGAGGAAUUCCCUGAUUGUGGACUCGGCAAUGUUAACCUUGUUUCUAAUGCCAAUGCUUCCAGUGGAAGUAAAAGAAAAGGUAAACCAUUAUAAGCCUCCUUGUUUUCAGCACGCCUUCUUAAGAAUACCUUGAUAAGAAGUUAAGAACCUCUCUGUUGUAUCAUUUGUCUUCUCUAAUUUAAAUCAUUUUCCUUGGGUUAUCAUAUUUCCGUAUCUUAGUCGUUGUUUAGCUGGAAAAUUUCCAUGUCACACUAUUUGCUUGCUUGUAAUUCAGUCACUCUCUCUUGCCCUGCAUAUCUCCUUUUGCUUAUUUUGUAGACAGCUUACGUUGUUGGUAUUGUCAAUAGAGAUUUAGGUUACAUGUUCGAUGAAGGGUGCAAUUUUGGCAUGAUGCAUGUUUCAAAAUAUUGAGGAAUCCCAUUCUAUAAUAUGAUCUUUUUGCUUUAUGUGUAUGUGUAGGGUAGGGACAUAUUUCUCAAACUAUUAUUAUCAUACAUUAAUAUGGACUGACUAAAGAACACUAGAAUUUUGCAAUGUUUUAGUCCUCUUUUCUAUUUAGGUAAGUAUCACAUGGAGAAGCAUGUAACUCACGCGAAUGUUCUCCAACGCCUUCUUGAGAUGACUGGUCUGGAUGCUUGAUUUUUCUCGAGGCAAAUGGAUGUAUUUUUUAGUGUAUAGUUGACAUAGUAAAUUUUUUCACGUAAAGUAUUAUUUAUGUUUCCGCUGAAUCAAAAGCAUAUCAUGCUAGGUUUUCUGGUUUAAGAAUAACUAAAAGCCAUGAUCCUUCUUCAUGUUAAAUAUCUGAGAUGCUAACUGAUGUCCGUACAUGUUGACUUGGUUUCUAGUGAAUCAAACAUAUAAUCGGGCUUUGGAAGCUUGCAUCCCCUUGUCUUUCUAAACACGAUGUUAUUUUUGUAUGUCUUGUCAGCAGGCUCGCGUGCUGCAAUGGUUAGGUGAAGAGCUGGUCAGAUGGGGGCGAUCUCAACGUUGAGAACGAGCAUUCCCCCUGGCUCAUUUCCAUCCUCAAUUUUGAGAUCAGCAGCAGCCCCAUCACCUCCCUCUAAUAAGCUAGAGUUGGCCAUGCAUAAAAUUGGUGGGUUUUGUGUACAGUAGUUUCCAUAUUCUAUGCAGUGUAAAGCAAAAGCAUCGGAGCAAUAGCUAGCAGAAGUUGAGGAGAGGACUAAUCUUUUGGGUUUUUAAGCUUUCCUAGGUUUACUCUUAUCAGCCUCCAGGUAUUCACAAGGCACCAGAACUCGUUUUAUUUCGUUUUUUGAUGUGUUCUCGACUGUAUUUUCUUCCCUUUCUCGGAAUGUUGUUUCUCUAAUUUGGAAACGUGAAGUAUCAUGCAAUGUGGAGUUCUAUCUAUAAUCAUGUGCCAUGAGCAAAUAUUAUUGUUUGCCAUGAUCUGGCUAGAAAGGUGUAAUCUUGCAGAUUUUUUUUCGAGCUUUUUGUUUCGUGAUUUUGUCCCCAUUUUUACUGGUCAUAGACAACAGUCUUAUCUUUAGACUCUUUAACUGCUUUUUCUCUCCACCUCUCAUUGUUUUGAUAUUUUAUAGCGGAUCUUUUGAAAAGUUAUUUUUCUAAAAAAAAUUGAAGAGGAAAAGGAAUAGCAUUUAUAAGUUAUAAAUGUCAUGUUUGUAAUGUUUUGGAAUAGUAUGCGUGUAUUGUUUUGGUAAUCAUGUUUGAUUGAAAAUGGUUCAAUGCUGUAAAUCAUAUAUAAAAACUGUAACAGUUAUGUUUUUUAUUCCAAGAUUUAAAGAGGAAAAGAAGAAAAUAAAAUUGGGAGUAGUNAAUCUAAUUCCCCUAUAAUAAAUCGAAUUACAAUCGAAUUUUGCGAAACCACAAGGAUUUUGGUGCUAUUUCUCCUAUAAUAAAUAUCUUUAAAUAAUUCAUUAUUUACACCAAAUGUCAUUAUCUCCGCACAUAAUUAUCUCUCUUUAUUUCUCUCUCAUAUUUUUUGAACAAAUAUAUACUCACAAAAAGUUGCUUUCUCUCUCAUAUUUUAUUAUAAACUAUUAAUUUCUUAAUAUCUGUACCCAAAUCUUGUGGCCUAUUGAAUUAGGACGGAUAAAGUAAUUUAGUUCACUUUUUUAAUCAAUAUUACAUUAUCACGAUGAUUUGACAAUAAAGUAAAAAAAUGUUUAUUGAACUAAUGACGUUGUAUAUAUAGGGAUACAUGUUUUUAUUUUUUAUUAUUUUUUUUAUUUUUUAGGCAUUAUAGGGUACAUGUUGAUUGACAUAAAAAUCAUACUUUUACACAUAUUAGCAUUUUUUUUCGGACACUUUUUAAACGUUUUAAUGUGCAAUAUCAUUUUUUUCAAUUUGUAUGUGUUUUCUAAAAAAAUAUACUAACAAUGAAUCAAUGAUACAAAUUAAAGAUGAUGUUAUAAUUAAAACAUAACGUCGUAUCGAAAUUAUAAAUAAAUCACUGGCCAACACUAUACCCCCACCAUUUCCCCACAAAUAUUCGAUUUCAGAAAGCAUUAGAAAAAUGAUUAGAGAAUCUAUGCACGCACCACCACUUUUCCCCAUCAUAUUUUAAGUGAUCGUACUAAAUUAGUACACUUUGUUAGACGUAAAUUAGUACACAUUAAAAAAAAUAAGAGUUAAUUACCUAGAAAUUAUAGUAUCAAAUUUUAGUUUUUAGAUAUAAAUUUUAAUGUUUGGUGUGAUAAUUACUUAAAUUAUUAACUGAAUUUGAUUUGGUUACUAAUCAAAAUUUCAAUAAAUUUAUUAACGACACAAUGAGUAAAAUAAUUGGCGUGACAUAGUUGUUCUUGCGUGGUAAUCUGUUGAGUAGUAAUGUCAUCAAUAAAUUAAUUGAAAUUAUAACGGGUCACAAAUCAAAUUAAAUCAAUAUUAUUAUAGUUUAAUUUUUAAAAUUUAUAGGUGUAUAAAAUCAGACUUUGAUAAAAAAAAUUCAAUCAAUUAAUCCUAAAAAUAAUAUCGAGAAUAAAUUAAAACGAAUAAAAGAAGACAACCAUGGAAGCCUAGUGAUUCGCAAUCAACGAAAGUAAAAAGUUGUUAGCUAUAAAUAAAGAAAUGCAGUGAAAAAUUGGACCCGCAUUUGUUCAGCUGUUUGGAAUUUGAGGAAUCUUGAAUCAAUGGCUCCUGUAAAUCGCCCCGUUUCUUUCCCCCAUUGAAUUGUCGCCAUUUGUAUCCUUCGCUAAAGCUCUUUUUAGCCCUUUUCCUAGGGCUUCCUUUCCCCCCUUAUAAAUCCCCUCGUCACCCCAAUUUCCGCGUCGUGCCGCUUGCUCUUGCGCUAAAGAUUCAAUUUUCGAAAGGUUGGGUUGUGGAAUUCAUCACUUGAUUGUAAGUCAUUUUGCUUUUCUUCCCGAUUUGCUUUUUGUAAUUUUUUUGGAACUUCGUUACCAUUUAGGCGUGGUUGAUCGUGGUUAGACUUCUAUUUACUGAUUUUCACCAUUUCUUUUUUGCUCGACGAGGGUGAAUUUUAGCUGAAUUGAAGUGCCCUGAAUUUUGAUUUUUGACAUGGUAGUUAUAGCUCGUAGUUUUACGGCGUGGAAUUUUCUUUACAAUUCUUGGCAUACUGUCGUUUGGUUCGCGUUGAUAGAAAUUGUUUCGCCCUAAUUUAGUCUAAUUUUGUGUAAUUUUUUUUAUUUUCUUCUGCGUAGGGUUUGUUUCUUUAUUUUGACUAUAAAGGAUUGGACACUCAGAGAGUCAGAGUUAUCCGUGAAAGACAGUAUAUAUCUGCUGAAAUGGAUGAUGGGGAGCUUGAUUUCCCAAAUGACCAAUGUUGUCAUGCUUGGACAUAACUAAUGCUCAGAGCAGUUGCUCGUUCGACAUAGACGAGUUUCUUAGUCGGACGCAGCUUGCAAUGAUGCCCUUGGUCGAACAGAGGCUUACACCGAUGGUCUUGGUCGAACACAGGCCUGCACUCAUGCUCAUGCUUGCAACCCGUCGGGCCCUGAUCAAUCCCACACGCAUACGUGCAUUCAUGUCCACACGCAAAUUAUGCCCUCCCCUAGUGAAGGUCAGGACCCCAGCGACGACACCGCUGAAUCGGUGGAUAAGAAAUCUAAAAAGAGGCCGUUGGGCAACCGUGAAGCUGUACGUAAGUACAGGGAGAAGAAGAAAGCUAGGGCUGCAUCAUUGGAGGAUGAGGUUAUCAGGUUGAGGGCUUUGAACCAGCAGCUAAUGAAGAGGCUCCAGGGUCAGGCGUUGCUGGAGGCCGAGGUUGCUAGGCUUAAGUGCUUGCUCGUGGACAUCAGAGGGAGGAUUGAGGGAGAAAUUGGAUCUUUCCCUUACCAGAAGCCGAACAAGAGUGAGGACGUCUAUCAGAACAUGGCGAAUCCUAAUAAUCCUGGAAGAUACGUGAUCAAUCCGUGUAAUAUGCAGCGUAAUGAUCCGCUUUACUGCAUUCAUCCUGGAUCAGAAGCGGCGUUAAGUGGGCAAGGCCUUGGGGAUUGUGGGUUUGACAAUCUUCAAUGUCCGGGAAAUCAAAAUUCUGAUCCGGAGGAAUUCCCUGAUUGUGGACUCGGCAAUGUUAACCUUGUUUCUAAUGCCAAUGCUUCCAGUGGAAGUAAAAGAAAAGGUAAACCAUUAUAAGCCUCCUUGUUUUCAGCACGCCUUCUUAAGAAUACCUUGAUAAGAAGUUAAGAACCUCUCUGUUGUAUCAUUUGUCUUCUCUAAUUUAAAUCAUUUUCCUUGGGUUAUCAUAUUUCCGUAUCUUAGUCGUUGUUUAGCUGGAAAAUUUCCAU
RNAcentral lists this long non-coding RNA (4830 nucleotides) under Salvia miltiorrhiza (redroot sage). Its description in RNAcentral is "long non-coding RNA (SMIL_LNC006363)". Lineage: Eukaryota; Viridiplantae; Streptophyta; Magnoliopsida; Lamiales; Lamiaceae. The record is from RNAcentral.